CCAGAUCAAGGCGUGGACGGUUUUCUCGCCCAAUUAAAUACGCUGUGGGCGGGUUUUGAAUGACAGCGAUUCAGACCGAGCCGAGGAACUAAACAGCUCUUGGCAGCAGCACCGGAGACAUGUGUGGCAUCUUUGCGUAUCUGAAUUAUCACGUGCCUCGCACUCGCCGUGAGAUCCUUGAGGUCCUCAUCAAAGGUCUGCGUCGCCUGGAGUACCGUGGCUAUGACUCCGCUGGUGUGGGCAUUGAUGGAGGAAACAGUAAGGAAUGGGAAACCAACUCCAAGAGCAUCCACCUGAUCAAGCAAACAGGAAAAGUCAAAGCGCUGGAUGAGGAGAUCCAUAGGCAGCAGGAUGUUGAUCUUGAUGUGGAGUUUGAUGUGCACCUGGGGAUCGCUCACACUCGAUGGGCCACUCACGGCGUCCCCAGCCCGGUCAACAGCCACCCGCAAAGAUCUGACAAGAACAACGAGUUUAUCGUCAUCCAUAAUGGAAUCAUCACCAACUACAAAGACCUGAAGAAGUUUCUGGAGAGCAAAGGCUAUGAGUUUGAGUCUGAGACAGACACGGAGACCAUCGCUAAGCUGGUUAAGUACAUAUAUGAUAACCGGGAGAGCGAUGACAUCACCUUCACCACCCUCGUGGAGCAAGUCACCCAGCAACUAGAAGGAGCUUUUGCCCUGGUCUUGAAAAGUGUGCACUAUCCGGGAGAGGCAGUGGGCAGCAGGAGAGGAGGUCCAUUACUGAUUGGAGUUAGAAGUGACCACAAGCUUUCCACCGAUCACAUCCCCAUCCUUUAUCGCUCCUCUGGUAAAGAUAAAAAGAGCUGCAAUACUCUGCCCAGGAUGGACGAGGACACGUGUCUGUUUCCUGUGGACGAGAAAGCCGUGGAGUACUACUUUGCAUCUGAUGCCAGUGCUGUCAUCGAGCACACCAAUCGAGUCAUCUUCCUCGAGGAUGAUGAUAUCGCAGCAGUGCGUGACGGGCGUCUCUCUAUCCAUCGGAUCAAGCGCACAGCAGGGGACCACCCGGCCCGUGCCAUCCAGACCCUGCAGAUGGAGCUGCAGCAGAUCAUGAAGGGAAACUUCAGUUCCUUCAUGCAGAAAGAGAUCUUCGAGCAGCCAGAGUCUGUGGUCAACACCAUGCGAGGAAGAGUUAACUUUGAGAACAACACAGUGAUCUUGGGAGGGUUGAAAGACCACAUUAAAGAGAUUCAGAGAUGUCGGAGGCUCAUCAUGAUCGCCUGUGGGACCAGUUACCAUGCUGGAGUUGCAACUCGUCAGGUACUGGAAGAACUGACUGAACUUCCUGUCAUGGUGGAGCUGGCUAGUGAUUUCCUGGAUCGAAACACGCCUGUCUUCCGAGAUGAUGUGUGCUUUUUCAUCAGCCAGUCAGGAGAGACGGCAGACAGCCUGUUGGCUCUGCGCUACUGUAAGGGGAGAGGUGCCCUGACGGUGGGCAUCACCAACACUGUGGGCAGCUCUAUCUCAAGAGAAACAGACUGUGGUGUUCACAUCAAUGCUGGCCCAGAGAUUGGUGUGGCUAGCACCAAGGCAUACACAAGUCAGUUCGUGGCUCUCAUCAUGUUCGCCCUUCUGAUGUGCGAUGACAGAAUCUCAAUGCAGCCACGCAGACGAGAAAUCAUACAAGGCCUCAAAGUGCUGCCAGAUCUAAUCAAGGAGGUGUUGAGCCUGGAUGAGGAGAUUCAGAAGUUGGCAGCUGAGCUGUAUCAGCAGAAGAGUGUUCUCAUCAUGGGCCGAGGAUACCACUACGCCACCUGCCUGGAGGGAGCUUUGAAAAUUAAGGAGAUCACGUACAUGCAUUCAGAGGGGAUUUUGGCUGGAGAGCUGAAGCAUGGGCCGCUGGCUCUAGUGGACAAACUCAUGCCUGUCAUCAUGAUCAUCAUGAGAGACCACACAUACACCAAGUGCCAGAACGCACUGCAGCAGGUCGUGGCGAGACAGGGCCGUCCGAUCGUGAUCUGUGAUAAAGAUGACUAUGAGACCAUCAAGAACUCCAGCCGCACCAUCAAAGUGCCUCACAGUGUGGACUGUCUGCAGGGAAUCCUCAGCGUCAUCCCGCUACAACUGCUGUCCUUCCACCUCGCUGUGCUCCGCGGAUUCGACGUGGAUUGCCCAAGAAACCUGGCCAAGUCUGUGACUGUUGAGUAAUUGCUUCCUGAUCGAUGCCUCAAACACACACACACACACACACACACAUACACAGACAGUACAGACUAUCAAAGACAUGAAGAUAUUUGAAGAUAGGGUUUUAUACAUG
This is an RNA transcript of Cyprinus carpio (common carp), 2277 nucleotides long. It is a transcript of the gene named glutamine--fructose-6-phosphate aminotransferase [isomerizing] 1, with no coding region annotated. Lineage: Eukaryota; Metazoa; Chordata; Actinopteri; Cypriniformes; Cyprinidae. The transcript is spliced from 19 exons. The record is from RefSeq and is a predicted model, not a curated record.